AGACCCGAAACCGGGUGAUCUACCCAUGAGCAGGAUGAAGCGUUAGUAAAAUAACGUGGAGGUCCGAACCAGGCAUCGUUGAAAAGAUGUUGGAUGACUUGUGGGUAGGGGUGAAAUUCCAAUCGAACUCGGAGAUAGCUGGUUCUCCUCGAAAUAGCUUUAGGGCUAGCCUUAUUGAAAAGUUUUAUGGAGGUAGAGCACUGAAUGGACUAGGGGGCUUCACCGCCUACCGAAUCUUAUCAAACUGCGAAUGCCAUAAAAUGAUAAAUAGGAGUCAGACUGUGGGGGAUAAGCUUCAUGGUCAAAAGGGAAACAGCCCAGACCGCCGGCUAAGGUCCCAAAGUGUGUGUUAAGUGGAAAAGGAUGUGAAAUCGCUCAGACAACCAGGAUGUUGGCUCAGAAGCAGCCACCAUUAAAAGAGUGCGUAAUAGCUCACUGGUCCAGGGGUUUUGCGCCGAAAAUGUAACGGGGCUCAAACACACCACCGAAGCCGCGGAAUGUUUAAGGACAUUGGUAGAGGAGCGUUCUUAAUGCGACGAAGGCGUACCGAGAGGAGCGUUGGAGCGUUAAGAAGUGAGAAUGCCGGUAUUAGUAUGCGAAAAGGCAGGUGAGAAUCCUGCCCGCCGAAAAUCUAAGGAUUCCUGGGGAAGGCUCGUCCGCCCAGGGUAAGUCGGGACCUAAGGCGAGGCCGAAAGGCGUAGUCGAUGGGAAACUGGUAGAUAUUCCAGUACCAGCGGAGGUCAAUUGAGUGAAGUAGUGAAGCAGAAGGAUAGGGAGAGCGCCCAGUUGGUGAGGCGUUUAAGUAAGUAGGGUGAUGUGCAGGCAAAUCCACACAUCGAGAGCCUGAGAUACGAAUACGAGUGAAAACUAGUAGCGAAGUCCCCGAUUCCCGGCUGCCAAGAAAAGCUGCUAACGAGACCGAAGGUGCCCGUACCGCAAACCGACACAGGUAGAUGGGGUGAGAAACCUAAGGCGCGCGAGAAAACUCUUGUUAAGGAACUCGGCAAAAUGAACCCGUAACUUCGGGAGAAGGGUUGCUCAUUAGUGUGAGUAUCCGUGCGAUACAGAGCACAGAUGAGUCGCAGAGAAAAGGUCCAGGCGACUGUUUAGCAAAAACACAGGUCAUUGCAAAACCGCAAGGUGAAGUAUAAUGGCUGACGCCUGCCCGGUGCUGGAAGGUUAAGGGGAAGAGUGAGAGCUUUGAACCGAAGCCCCAGUAAACGGCGGCCGUAACAAUAACGGUCCUAAGGUAGCGAAAUUCCUUGUCGGGUAAGUUCCGACCCGCACGAA
Molecule: ribosomal RNA, 1290 nt
Filed under: human gut metagenome
Description: bacterial LSU rRNA
Rfam family: Bacterial large subunit ribosomal RNA
Source: RNAcentral